This 429-nucleotide ribosomal RNA is filed under the name Chloroflexota bacterium. RNAcentral's name for it is "Chloroflexi bacterium partial 16S ribosomal RNA". It matches the Rfam family "Bacterial small subunit ribosomal RNA", at positions 355 to 776 of the family's 1533-position model. Lineage: Bacteria; Bacillati; Chloroflexota. The record is from RNAcentral.
UGGGGAAUAUUGCACAAUGGGCGCAAGCCUGAUGCAGCCAUGCCGCGUGUAUGAAGAAGGCCUUCGGGUUGUAAAGUACUUUCAGUCGGGAGGAAGGUGGUAAGGUUAAUAACCUUAUCAAUUGACGUUACCGACAGAAGAAGCACCGGCUAACUCCGUGCCAGCAGCCGCGGUAAUACGGAGGGUGCAAGCGUUAAUCGGAAUUACUGGGCGUAAAGCGCACGCAGGCGGUUGAUUGAGUCAGAUGUGAAAUCCCCGGGCUUAACCCGGGAAUUGCAUCUGAUACUGGUCAGCUAGAGUCUUGUAGUGGGGGGUAUAAUUCCAUGUGUAGCGGUGAAAUGCGUAGAGAUGUGGAGGAAUACCGGUGGCGAAGGCGGCCCCCUGGACAAAGACUGACGCUAAGGUGCGAAAGCGUGGGGAGCAAACAGG